AAUCUAGAUAGUUUAUUUGUAGAAUAAUAAUUUGUGGUGUUAUAGGUGUGUUUAUUAUACUCUAGAU
Molecule: transfer RNA, 67 nt
Filed under: Anoplocnemis curvipes
Lineage: Eukaryota; Metazoa; Arthropoda; Insecta; Hemiptera; Coreidae
Description: tRNA-His
Source: RNAcentral